GAUAUUAAGGUGAUAUAUCUAAACUUUGCUGAAUUUUGAAGAAACUCGCUGCAAAUCAUUACUUAUUUAGGUGAUAUAUCUAAAGUUACAGAAUUUUGAAACUUGCACCGACGAUUUUUCUACACACGCACCAACUAUUCUGUGAUUUUUCAUGGACUGAAGAUAGAAUACGCACCAAACUAAUAUUAAGUCUGGUACAGAAAUUCUCUAUUCUUGAACUGACAAUAUUUCUUCUAUGUGGAAUACACAAGAUCUCCUCAAUUGGCCAUGAUGCAGGCAUCGCCACAGGCAAUACUUGGCGCACCGGAGAACCUGUACUGUUGGAUUUGUCGAGAGAGGACUGAGGGAACACGCCAGCGUUAGGGUGGCGGAUGCAAGUAUUGGAGUUCAGCCUAAAAUCACAAGAGAAUGGAUCAAAAUGAAUUCAGGUUGAUUUCUAAUCAUUUAUCAAGCUAUAAAAGUUAGAACUGAUGUUACACAAACCGAGGCAUUUUUUAUAUGAACAGCUCACGUACUAUGUAUAGUACCACUAUUUUUUUCAUUCUCAUGAACAAAUAACCAUAGACUAACGAGAGAAUGUAUUACUCGAUAGUAGGCAUUUUCUUCUCAGAACCACUUUGGUUUUCUUUUCUUUUUCUUCACUUUUUGCUGCUUGGUUUUUUCUUUGCUUUAUGAAGUGCCCCAUCAGAAAAGUUGAACUUUAGAUUUUACCAAUCUCCACAUCUACUGAAACAAGGGAG
RNAcentral lists this long non-coding RNA (740 nucleotides) under Triticum aestivum (bread wheat). RNAcentral's name for it is "long non-coding RNA (TAES_LNC005673)". The record is from RNAcentral. Lineage: Eukaryota; Viridiplantae; Streptophyta; Magnoliopsida; Poales; Poaceae.